RNAcentral lists this ribosomal RNA (301 nucleotides) under uncultured bacterium. Its description in RNAcentral is "partial 16S ribosomal RNA". It matches the Rfam family "Bacterial small subunit ribosomal RNA", at positions 509 to 807 of the family's 1533-position model. The record is from RNAcentral.
CAGUCGCCGCGGGAACACGUAGGUGGCAAGCGUUGUCCGGAAUUAUUGGGCGUAAAGCGCGCGCAAGUGGUUUAAUAAGUCUGAUGUGAAAGCCCACGGCUCAACCGUGGAGGGUCAUUGGAAACUGUUAAACUUGAGUGCAGGAGAGAAAAGUGGAAUUCCUAGUGUAGCGGUGAAAUGCGUAGAGAUUAGGAGGAACACCAGUGGCGAAGGCGGCUUUUUGGCCUGUAACUGACGCUGAGGAGCGAAAGCGUGGGGAGCGAACAGGAUUAGAGACCCCAGUAGUCCCUGUCUCUUAUAC